GAUGAAGAACGUAGCGAAAUGCGAUACGUAAUGUGAAUUGCAGAAUUCAGUGAAUCAUCGAAUCUUUGAACGCAUAUUGCGCUCUCUGGUAUUCCGGAGAGCAUGCUUGUUUGAGUAUCAGUAAACACCUCAACUUCCAUAUCUUUUUUGAAAUGGGAGUUGGACUUGAGUGAUCCCAACGCUUUUCCUCACCGAAAAGUGGCGGGUUACUUGAAAUGCAGGUGCAGCUGGACUUUUCUCUGAGCUAUAAGCAUAUCUAUUUAGUCUGCCUAAAAAACAGAUUAUUACCUUUGCUGCAGCUAACAUAAAGGAGAUUAGUUCUUGUGCUGACUGAUGCAGGAUUCACAAAGACGGCUUCGGCCGACUUUGUAAACUCGAUCUCAAAUCAAGUAAGACUACCCGCUGAACUUAAGCAUAUCAAAAGCGGAGGA
This 431-nucleotide unclassified non-coding RNA is filed under the name soil metagenome. RNAcentral's name for it is "partial contains 5.8S ribosomal RNA, internal transcribed spacer 2, and large subunit ribosomal RNA". The stretch from base 1 to 120 matches the Rfam family "5.8S ribosomal RNA", at positions 35 to 154 of the family's 154-position model. The record is from RNAcentral.